GACGAACGCUGGCGGCGUGCUUAACACAUGCAAGUCGUACGGUGAAGCUCCAGCUUGCUGGAGUGGAUCAGUGGCGAACGGGUGAGUAACACGUGAGCAACCUGCCCCUGACUCUGGAAUAAGCGCUGGAAACGGCGUCUAAUACUGGAUACGAGAAGGGUCCGCAUGGGCACUUUCUGGAAAGUUUUUCGGUUGGGGAUGGGCUCGCGGCCUAUCAGCUUGUUGGUGAGGUAAUGGCUCACCAAGGCGACGACGGGUAGCCGGCCUGAGAGGGCGACCGGCCACACUGGGACUGAGACACGGCCCAGACUCCUACGGGAGGCAGCAGUGGGGAAUAUUGCACAAUGGGCGAAAGCCUGAUGCAGCGACGCCGCGUGAGGGAUGACGGCCUUCGGGUUGUAAACCUCUUUCAGCAGGGAAGAAGCGAAAGUGACGGUACCUGCAGAAGAAGCACCGGCUAACUACGUG
This 468-nucleotide ribosomal RNA is filed under the name uncultured bacterium. RNAcentral describes it as "partial 16S ribosomal RNA". It matches the Rfam family "Bacterial small subunit ribosomal RNA", at positions 28 to 507 of the family's 1533-position model. The record is from RNAcentral.